This is a non-coding RNA of Triticum aestivum (bread wheat), 75 nucleotides long. The record is from Rfam. Lineage: Eukaryota; Viridiplantae; Streptophyta; Magnoliopsida; Poales; Poaceae.
UGAGGUGUAGCAUAGUCUGGUCAACGCAUCUGUUAUGGGUACAGAGGGCCAUAGGUUCGAAUCCUGUCACCUUGA